GGAGAGGGCUAGCGUUAUUCGGAAUUAUUGGGCGUAAAGGGCGCGUAGGCGGAUUAGUAAGUUAAAAGUGAAAUCCCAAGGCUCAACCUUGGAAUUGCUUUUAAAACUGCUAAUCUAGAGAUUGAAAGAGGAUAGAGGAAUUCCUAGUGUAGAGGUGAAAUUCGUAAAUAUUAGGAGGAACACCAGUGGCGAAGGCGUCUAUCUGGUUCAAAUCUGACGCUGAGGCGCGAUGGCGUGGGGAGCAAACAGGAUUAGAUACCCUGGUAGUCCACGCUGUAAACGAUGAAUGUUAAAUAUGGGGAGUUUACUUUCUGUAUUACAGCUAACGCGUUAAACAUUCCGCCUGGGGACUACGGUCGCAAGAUUAAAACUCAAAGGAAUUGACGGGGACCCGCACAAGCGGUGGAGCAUGUGGUUUAAUUCGAUGCAACGCGAAAAACCUUACCACUCCUUGACAUGGAAAUUAUACCUAUUCGAAGGGAUAGGGUCGGUUCGGCCGGGUUUCACACAGGUGU
RNAcentral lists this ribosomal RNA (515 nucleotides) under bacterium symbiont of Megymenum gracilicorne. RNAcentral's name for it is "bacterial SSU rRNA". It matches the Rfam family "Bacterial small subunit ribosomal RNA", at positions 527 to 1041 of the family's 1533-position model. The record is from RNAcentral.